Molecule: ribosomal RNA, 1486 nt
Filed under: Weissella confusa
Lineage: Bacteria; Bacillati; Bacillota; Bacilli; Lactobacillales; Lactobacillaceae
Description: bacterial SSU rRNA
Rfam family: Bacterial small subunit ribosomal RNA
Source: RNAcentral
GCUGGCGGCGUGCCUAAUACAUGCAAGUCGAACGCUUUGUGGUUCAACUGAUUUGAAGAGCUUGCUCAGAUAUGACGAUGGACAUUGCAAAGAGUGGCGAACGGGUGAGUAACACGUGGGAAACCUACCUCUUAGCAGGGGAUAACAUUUGGAAACAGAUGCUAAUACCGUAUAACAAUGACAACCGCAUGGUUGUUAUUUAAAAGAUGGUUCUGCUAUCACUAAGAGAUGGUCCCGCGGUGCAUUAGCUAGUUGGUAAGGUAAUGGCUUACCAAGGCGAUGAUGCAUAGCCGAGUUGAGAGACUGAUCGGCCACAAUGGGACUGAGACACGGCCCAUACUCCUACGGGAGGCAGCAGUAGGGAAUCUUCCACAAUGGGCGAAAGCCUGAUGGAGCAACGCCGCGUGUGUGAUGAAGGGUUUCGGCUCGUAAAACACUGUUGUAAGAGAAGAAUGACAUUGAAAGUAACUGUUCAAUGUGUGACGGUAUCUUACCAGAAAGGAACGGCUAAAUACGUGCCAUCAGCCGCGGUAAUACGUAUGUUCCAAGCGUUAUCCGGAUUUAUUGUUCGUAAAGCGAGCGCACACGGUUAUUUAAGUCUGAAGUGAAAGCCCUCAGCUCAACUGAGGAAUUGCUUUGGAAACUGGAUGACUUGAGUGCAGUACACGAAAGUGGAACUCCAUGUGUAGAGGUGAAAUGCGUAGAUAUAUGGAAGAACACCAGUGGCGAAGGCGGCUUUCUGGACUGUAACUGACGUUGAGGCUCGAAAGUGUGGGUAGCAAACAGGAUUAGAUACCCUGGUAGUCCACACCGUAAACGAUGAGUGCUAGGUGUUUGAGGGUUUCCGCCCUUAAGUGCCGCAGCUAACGCAUUAAGCACUCCGCCUGGGGAGUACGACCGCAAGGUUGAAACUCAAAGGAAUUGACGGGGACCCGCACAAGCGGUGGAGCAUGUGGUUUAAUUCGAAGCAACGCGAAGAACCUUACCAGGUCUUGACAUCCCUUGACAACUCCAGAGAUGGAGCGUUCCCUUCGGGGACAAGGUGACAGGUGGUGCAUGGUUGUCGUCAGCUCGUGUCGUGAGAUGUUGGGUUAAGUCCCGCAACGAGCGCAACCCUUAUUACUAGUUGCCAGCAUUCAGUUGGGCACUCUAGUGAGACUGCCGGUGACAAACCGGAGGAAGGUGGGGAUGACGUCAAAUCAUCAUGCCCCUUAUGACCUGGGCUACACACGUGCUACAAUGGCGUAUACAACGAGUUGCCAACCCGCGAGGGUGAGCUAAUCUCUUAAAGUACGUCUCAGUUCGGAUUGUAGGCUGCAACUCGCCUACAUGAAGUCGGAAUCGCUAGUAAUCGCGGAUCAGCACGCCGCGGUGAAUACGUUCCCGGGUCUUGUACACACCGCCCGUCACACCAUGAGAGUUUGUAACACCCAAAGCCGGUGGGGUAACCUUCGGGAGCCAGCCGUCUAAGGUGGGACAGAUGAUU